Molecule: long non-coding RNA, 406 nt
Organism: Arachis stenosperma
Lineage: Eukaryota; Viridiplantae; Streptophyta; Magnoliopsida; Fabales; Fabaceae
Exons: 5
Source: RefSeq, a predicted model, not a curated record
UCCAACCUCAUCCCUUCAAGGUUGCGUGACAAUAUUGUAGGGACUGGUGGGUCAUGUUCCAAACGGAGAAGGUUGGAUUGUGAUCCUGUGGUCUCAUCUAACCCUUCUACAACUGAGCUUCAGGAUGGAGUUGAUACUGAUGCAAGUGUGUUGCAAAAGGAAUAUCCUGUAAAUUCACCAAAAGAAGUCACAAAGCACACAUGUCUAAUUUGCAAGAGUGGUGGACAGCUACUGUGCUGAAGAGGAUGAAGGUACUAAUUACAAGAUCACACCUUUUCUUUAAAUAGCAUUUCAAUUCAUUCACUGAUAACAUUUUGAUUUGGUUUUGUAGAAAAAGGAGUACCUGCUUUUUGGCUCAAUGCAAUGAAAAACAAUGAAGUGUUAGCUGAAGAGGGGGUUCCGUCUG